AUGAAACCGGUAAAACACUAAAAUCGUAUUGCUCAACAAUGUCUCCGCGAGUCUAUGCUAUUUAUAGUGUCUAUAAUUCAAACCUACACUUUGACGUUUCGUUUUUGCCGUCAACGAAGUACACGGCGCGCGAGAGAAACAAAAACAUUGUCUCCCCAAGAGUUGCACGGAUGUUGUGGAUAGAUUUUAAAUAGUGUUUUGUACAAAUAUACUACUUAAAUAGUUUUUUAACCCAUAAAGCUCGGCUUCGUGUACCGACAAGGUGUCCUGCGCUGAUCAGUGCCGAUGGGAAAGCUGUCAUCAGUUCGGUGGAUAAUCGGAUCCAAAUUUUCGUUUGAAGAACAACAAAUAACGCACCCUCUCGCCUAAUAGCGAGUUCAACUACAUCGCGCUGGAUCUUUCCCCAAACGGGUGCAGGUGCAUCCUAUGGUGGUGGUGGUCAACAGAACGGACGAGGCCCAGAUGAUAAAUAUUAUUUCGCACAAGGCAGUUCACCGGUACAACUUCAACGGAAGGGUGAAAUGACUGCGCUUCAGUCUGAAUGAAAAGUACUUUGUCGCCGGGAAGUUCGUAUUUUUCGAGCGCCGGAGGAGCUGAUAGAAAAUGUCAACAGAUGGCUCCGGGAAUCUAACCGACUAUUAUCUGAUGUGAAAGGAGGAAUCAUACGUACGGAACCGCGAUAGUCGAAUGGCUCGUGCCGGCAGAAGUUACAGAAGGAAUUUCGAUGAUGACCUUCGGUCAGGUUUGGAUGACAGGUCGAUGCUGACUCAUAACCGUAAUCCACAGCGAUUAAUUACACGGCCGGACAUCGAAAAGCAACUGCUGAGCCGGAAACGUCACCAUCAGGAAGUAAACAGUAUGAGUAAGCAAACGUUUGUGUUCGUCCAUGGAUUUGCGAGUGGAUCCAACUUAAUAUUGCCUUGCCGGUACCAAUGCAAUCGUCUGCUGGACCACGACGAUGACAAAAGCCUGAAUUUUACAAUUUACACAAUUAACAGAAUCAAUUUCCAAUUUAAUUUCUAUAGUACAGUCAAGGCGUUAAUACUGAACACUCUAAACACUCUUAAUUAAC
Aedes albopictus (Asian tiger mosquito) is the source of this 1072-nucleotide long non-coding RNA. RefSeq lists it as uncharacterized. Lineage: Eukaryota; Metazoa; Arthropoda; Insecta; Diptera; Culicidae. The transcript has 3 exons. The record is from RefSeq and is a predicted model, not a curated record.